GGGUUGUGAGGUUAAGCGACUAAGCGUACACGGUGGAUGCCCUGGCAGUCAGAGGCGAUGAAGGACGUGCUAAUCUGCGAUAAGCGUCGGUAAGGUGAUAUGAACCGUUAUAACCGGCGAUUUCCGAAUGGGGAAACCCAGUGUGUUUCGACACACUAUCAUUAACUGAAUCCAUAGGUUAAUGAGGCGAACCGGGGGAACUGAAACAUCUAAGUACCCCGAGGAAAAGAAAUCAACCGAGAUUCCCCCAGUAGCGGCGAGCGAACGGGGAGCAGCCCAGAGCCUGAAUCAGUAUGUGUGUUAGUGGAAGCGUCUGGAAAGGCGCGCGAUACAGGGUGACAGCCCCGUACACAAAAAUGCACAUGCUGUGAGCUCGAUGAGUAGGGCGGGACACGUGGUAUCCUGUCUGAAUAUGGGGGGACCAUCCUCCAAGGCUAAAUACUCCUGACUGACCGAUAGUGAACCAGUACCGUGAGGGAAAGGCGAAAAGAACCCCGGCGAGGGGAGUGAAAAAGAACCUGAAACCGUGUACGUACAAGCAGUGGGAGCACAGAGCAAUCUGUGUGACUGCGUACCUUUUGUAUAAUGGGUCAGCGACUUAUAUUCUGUAGCAAGGUUAACCGAAUAGGGGAGCCGAAGGGAAACCGAGUCUUAACUGGGCGUUAAGUUGCAGGGUAUAGACCCGAAACCCGGUGAUCUAGCCAUGGGCAGGUUGAAGGUUGGGUAACACUAACUGGAGGACCGAACCGACUAAUGUUGAAAAAUUAGCGGAUGACUUGUGGCUGGGGGUGAAAGGCCAAUCAAACCGGGAGAUAGCUGGUUCUCCCCGAAAGCUAUUUAGGUAGCGCCUCGUGAAUUCAUCUCCGGGGGUAGAGCACUGUUUCGGCAAGGGGGUCAUCCCGACUUACCAACCCGAUGCAAACUGCGAAUACCGGAGAAUGUUAUCACGGGAGACACACGGCGGGUGCUAACGUCCGUCGUGAAGAGGGAAACAACCCAGACCGCCAGCUAAGGUCCCAAAGUCAUGGUUAAGUGGGAAACGAUGUGGGAAGGCCCAGACAGCCAGGAUGUUGGCUUAGAAGCAGCCAUCAUUUAAAGAAAGCGUAAUAGCUCACUGGUCGAGUCGGCCUGCGCGGAAGAUGUAACGGGGCUAAACCAUGCACCGAAGCUGCGGCAGCGACGCUUAUGCGUUGUUGGGUAGGGGAGCGUUCUGUAAGCCUGUGAAGGUGUGCUGUGAGGCAUGCUGGAGGUAUCAGAAGUGCGAAUGCUGACAUAAGUAACGAUAAAGCGGGUGAAAAGCCCGCUCGCCGGAAGACCAAGGGUUCCUGUCCAACGUUAAUCGGGGCAGGGUGAGUCGACCCCUAAGGCGAGGCCGAAAGGCGUAGUCGAUGGGAAACAGGUUAAUAUUCCUGUACUUGGUGUUACUGCGAAGGGGGGACGGAGAAGGCUAUGUUGGCCGGGCGACGGUUGUCCCGGUUUAAGCGUGUAGGCUGGUUUUCCAGGCAAAUCCGGAAAAUCAAGGCUGAGGCGUGAUGACGAGGCACUACGGUGCUGAAGCAACAAAUGCCCUGCUUCCAGGAAAAGCCUCUAAGCAUCAGGUAACAUCAAAUCGUACCCCAAACCGACACAGGUGGUCAGGUAGAGAAUACCAAGGCGCUUGAGAGAACUCGGGUGAAGGAACUAGGCAAAAUGGUGCCGUAACUUCGGGAGAAGGCACGCUGAUAUGUAGGUGAAGUCCCUCGCGGAUGGAGCUGAAAUCAGUCGAAGAUACCAGCUGGCUGCAACUGUUUAUUAAAAACACAGCACUGUGCAAACACGAAAGUGGACGUAUACGGUGUGACGCCUGCCCGGUGCCGGAAGGUUAAUUGAUGGGGUUAGCGCAAGCGAAGCUCUUGAUCGAAGCCCCGGUAAACGGCGGCCGUAACUAUAACGGUCCUAAGGUAGCGAAAUUCCUUGUCGGGUAAGUUCCGACCUGCACGAAUGGCGUAAUGAUGGCCAGGCUGUCUCCACCCGAGACUCAGUGAAAUUGAACUCGCUGUGAAGAUGCAGUGUACCCGCGGCAAGACGGAAAGACCCCGUGAACCUUUACUAUAGCUUGACACUGAACAUUGAGCCUUGAUGUGUAGGAUAGGUGGGAGGCUUUGAAGUGUGGACGCCAGUCUGCAUGGAGCCGACCUUGAAAUACCACCCUUUAAUGUUUGAUGUUCUAACGUUGACCCGUAAUCCGGGUUGCGGACAGUGUCUGGUGGGUAGUUUGACUGGGGCGGUCUCCUCCUAAAGAGUAACGGAGGAGCACGAAGGUUGGCUAAUCCUGGUCGGACAUCAGGAGGUUAGUGCAAUGGCAUAAGCCAGCUUGACUGCGAGCGUGACGGCGCGAGCAGGUGCGAAAGCAGGUCAUAGUGAUCCGGUGGUUCUGAAUGGAAGGGCCAUCGCUCAACGGAUAAAAGGUACUCCGGGGAUAACAGGCUGAUACCGCCCAAGAGUUCAUAUCGACGGCGGUGUUUGGCACCUCGAUGUCGGCUCAUCACAUCCUGGGGCUGAAGUAGGUCCCAAGGGUAUGGCUGUUCGCCAUUUAAAGUGGUACGCGAGCUGGGUUUAGAACGUCGUGAGACAGUUCGGUCCCUAUCUGCCGUGGGCGCUGGAGAACUGAGGGGGGCUGCUCCUAGUACGAGAGGACCGGAGUGGACGCAUCACUGGUGUUCGGGUUGUCAUGCCAAUGGCACUGCCCGGUAGCUAAAUGCGGAAGAGAUAAGUGCUGAAAGCAUCUAAGCACGAAACUUGCCCCGAGAUGAGUUCUCCCUGACUCCUUGAGAGUCCUGAAGGAACGUUGAAGACGACGACGUUGAUAGGCCGGGUGUGUAAGCGCAGCGAUGCGUUGAGCUAACCGGUACUAAUGAACCGUGAGGCUUAACCUUACAACGCCGAAGCUGUU
RNAcentral lists this ribosomal RNA (2932 nucleotides) under Escherichia coli. RNAcentral describes it as "bacterial LSU rRNA". It matches the Rfam family "Bacterial large subunit ribosomal RNA". Lineage: Bacteria; Pseudomonadati; Pseudomonadota; Gammaproteobacteria; Enterobacterales; Enterobacteriaceae. The record is from RNAcentral.